Molecule: ribosomal RNA, 330 nt
Filed under: uncultured Pseudomonadota bacterium
Lineage: Bacteria; Pseudomonadati; Pseudomonadota
Description: bacterial SSU rRNA
Rfam family: Bacterial small subunit ribosomal RNA
Source: RNAcentral
AUUGAACGCUGGCGGCAUGCCUAACACAUGCAAGUCGAACGGCAGCAUGCUCUGUAGCAAUACAGAGUGAUGGCGAGUGGCGGACGGGUGAGUAACGCGUAGGAAUCUGCCCUAAAGUGGGGGAUAACUCAGCGAAAGCUGAGCUAAUACCGCAUAAUCUCUUCGGAGUAAAGCAGGGGAUCUUUAUGACCUUGCGCUUUAGGAUGAGCCUGCGUAAGAUUAGCUAGUUGGUAGGGUAAAAGCCUACCAAGGCUACGAUCUUUAGCUGGUCUGAGAGGACGACCAGCCACAUUGGGACUGAGACACGGCCCAAACUCCUACGGGAGGCAG